This 440-nucleotide ribosomal RNA is filed under the name uncultured bacterium. Its description in RNAcentral is "partial 16S ribosomal RNA". It matches the Rfam family "Bacterial small subunit ribosomal RNA", at positions 338 to 795 of the family's 1533-position model. The record is from RNAcentral.
CCUACGGGAGGCAGUAGUGGGGGAUAUUGCACAAUGGGGGAAACCCUGAUGCAGCGACGCCGCGUGUGGGAAGACUGUCCUCUGGAUUGUAAACCACUGUCCCCAGGGACGAAGAUGACGGUACCUGGGGAGGAAGCUCCGGCUAACUACGUGCCAGCAGCCGCGGUAAUACGUAGGGAGCGAGCGUUGUCCGGAAUUACUGGGGGUAAAGGGAGCGUAGGCGGGAAUGCAAGUUGGUGGUAAAAAGUACCGGCUCAACUGGUAGUCGCACUCAAAACUGGAGCUCUUGAGUGAAGUAGAGGCAGGCGGAAUAACUAGUGUAGCGGUGAAAUGCGUAGAUAUUAGGAGGAACCCCAGUGGCGAAGGCGGCCUGCUGGGCUUUUACUGACGCUGAGGCUCGAAAGUGUGGGGAGCAAACAGGAUUAGAUACCCUAGUAGUC